Long non-coding RNA from Etheostoma cragini (Arkansas darter), 640 nucleotides. RefSeq lists it as uncharacterized. The record is from RefSeq and is a predicted model, not a curated record. NCBI's taxonomy places the organism in Eukaryota, Metazoa, Chordata, Actinopteri, Perciformes, Percidae. The transcript has 4 exons.
CAGGCCGCUGCGUCGGAGUAAACCUCCACCAACUGACUUAUCCAGGCGCCCUGUACUCAUCCAUUUUAACUACAAGGAAUGUUGUAUACCCAUCCAACAUGUGCAUCCAUGGUGUUUUUAAGCAAUUUCUUAAAGAAACCCAUAUUUCUGACCCGAGGACUAACACACAGGUUAAAGUUAAGGAUUGAGGACAGCAGUUAGGAUUGCGACUCCCUCCUUUAUGCCUAAUGCUCUAGGAUCAGUUGGCAGCAUGUAGCUAAUUAAAUAAGGGUUAGUUUGGACUACAUUCUGACUCAAAGUUAAAGAAAAAAGAAAAUACAGCACUUACAAUGCUUUUAUAUCUGACUAGAAUGUUCCAUUAUUUAUUAGCGGGAGCCUGCAUGCGAGUCGAGUUGUUACCUUCCCGCUGCUGACUGUAAUCCGCACCGUGUCCUCGAGUCUUACUCCAGCCAGGGACGCCCACUGAUAGUCCUCAUCCGGUUCUCAUUUCCACGUGACGACCGGGUCUCGCCUCGGCUCACGAGACAGAAGAAUCUCUAUUUUUUUGCCUCCAAAAUGCUUGUUGAGAAAAGAGGACGUCCUCUUACUUCAAACUGAAUGUUUGGAAACUCCAUUUGUAUGCCAAGAUGGAAAAUUCAGU